RNAcentral lists this ribosomal RNA (433 nucleotides) under uncultured bacterium. RNAcentral describes it as "partial 16S ribosomal RNA". It matches the Rfam family "Bacterial small subunit ribosomal RNA", at positions 29 to 507 of the family's 1533-position model. The record is from RNAcentral.
AACGAACGCUGGCGGCAUGCCUAACACAUGCAAGUCGAACGAGACCUUCGGAUCUAGUGGCGCACGGGUGCGUAACGCGUGGGAACCUGCCUUUAGGUUCGGAAUAACUCAGAGAAAUUUGAGCUAAUACCGGAUGAUGUCUUCGGACCAAAGAUUUAUCGCCUUUAGAUGGGCCCGCGUUGGAUUAGCUAGUUGGUGGGGUAAAGGCCUACCAAGGCGACGAUCCAUAGCUGGUCUGAGAGGAUGAUCAGCCACACUGGGACUGAGACACGGCCCAGACUCCUACGGGAGGCAGCAGUGGGGAAUAUUGGACAAUGGGAGAAAGCCUGAUCAAGCAAUGCCGGGGGAGUGAUGAAGGCCUUAGGGUUGUAAAGCUCUUUUACCCGAGAUGAUAAUGACAGUAGCGGGAGAAUAAGCUCCGGCUAACUCCGUG